Molecule: unclassified non-coding RNA, 300 nt
Filed under: uncultured Gibberella
Lineage: Eukaryota; Fungi; Ascomycota; Sordariomycetes; Hypocreales; Nectriaceae
Description: sequence contains 5.8S rRNA gene, ITS2
Rfam family: 5.8S ribosomal RNA (bases 1-76)
Source: RNAcentral
CCAGGGUGAAUCAUCGAAUCUUUGAACGCACAUUGCGCCCGCUGGUAUUCCGGCGGGCAUGCCUGUUCGAGCGUCAUUUCAACCCUCAAGCCCCCGGGUUUGGUGUUGGGGAUCGGCUCUGCCUCACGGCGGUGCCGCCCCCGAAAUACAUUGGCGGUCUCGCUGCAGCCUCCAUUGCGUAGUAGCUAACACCUCGCAACUGGAACGCGGCGCGGCCAUGCCGUAAAACCCCAACUUCUGAAUGUUGACCUCGGAUCAGGUAGGAAUACCCGCUGAACUUAAGCAUAUCAAUAAGCGGAG